Molecule: ribosomal RNA, 138 nt
Filed under: Triticum aestivum (bread wheat)
Lineage: Eukaryota; Viridiplantae; Streptophyta; Magnoliopsida; Poales; Poaceae
Description: partial small subunit ribosomal RNA
Source: RNAcentral
CUGGCUAUUCACGGACUAGCUGUACCUACUUUUUUUUCUUGGGAUCAAUAUCAGCAAUGCAGUUCAUCCAACGAUAAACCAAAUUCCAACUAUAGAACUAUGACACAAUCAACCCGAAUGAACAAAAUGUUGAAUUGA